GUUCUCUUUUUCUUUGCUCCAGGUGUGGAAGUCACCCACUGGCUGCGAUUGUCUGCCCGGGUCCUGGUUUAAUUGUUUGUUUGGGAUCAGUUUUGGAAGGAUCCACCAGCUGAUACAGACUGCUGAUGUUUUGCCAAGAGAGAUAAACAGCCUCAGUUUGUACUGCAGUUGGAUACGGUGUUUACAAAAUACAGCAGCUGCCUCCCAGGAAAGCCCUGGAAUUACCUGGGCUGUUGGAUUCCAACCCACCUUUCAAAUCUCUACCUGUCAAAUUUGGUAAUGUGCAGCUGCCACGUUGGUUGUCAUGUUUGUCACCAGGCUGCUGGAGAAGCCAGUACCUUGCGCGUUGCAGUUGCCAGAAAGAGGGAAGAAGUCAGUGGCCAAGUAUGCCAGCUCUUAUCACCUACCCAUCUGCUCACAUUUUAUUGGCUAAAGCAAGUCAUGAAGGUAUCUUCACUUCUCGUGAGCAGCAGAGGGCAGGCGGCAGCAUGCAGCCUGCAGAGAGAGCUGGGCUAUUUGUGA
Molecule: long non-coding RNA, 522 nt
Filed under: Sus scrofa (pig)
Lineage: Eukaryota; Metazoa; Chordata; Mammalia; Artiodactyla; Suidae
Description: lncRNA (ENSSSCG00070024386.1)
Source: RNAcentral